Molecule: long non-coding RNA, 1301 nt
Organism: Chinchilla lanigera (long-tailed chinchilla)
Lineage: Eukaryota; Metazoa; Chordata; Mammalia; Rodentia; Chinchillidae
Exons: 4
Source: RefSeq, a predicted model, not a curated record
GGCCUCUGGAAGCAGGACAGGAGCUGUCAAGUUCAAUUUAUCCCUGCUCUCCGUUGAUAAGCAGAAAGAUGUUUUGUGAAAUGUCAGUAAACGUAACUUUAACCCAAAAAGAGUCUCGGAUGCAAUUGAGGAACGGUUUGAAAGCUGUCAUUGAUGGGAUAGUACUUCCAACUUGUAAUUGAAAGAACUCCGCAGUCUAGCCAAGAAACACUUUCUCCCAUCUAUAUUCUGGAAAGAGACUUGAAAUGACACAUGAUUAUUUCUUCAUGUGUAAUAUUCAUUGUUAUGUACACACCCACAGAAGGAAUAAAUGGUACUAAGAUAUUUCAGUUCCAGCCAAAGCAAUAGCUCUAGAGAAAGCAGCCAUGUUACUAUGACUGUCGCUGAAAAAAGGAGAAUCCGGGUCCCUUAGCAAAUGAGGCCUGAACCAGAAAAGAAGACACCACAGACUCUUCACAUUCUGAAUUCCAGCACUGAGCUAGACGCAUCGAGGAGCUGGGUAUGACCGCUCCCUGUUGAGAGAAGCAAGCCCUUGAAGAUUAUGAAGAGCAUCUUGCAUAAUGAGAGACGUAGAACAAGAGAGAGCGAUCUACAGCUUAAAGGAGAAAGGCUGUUGCUGAAGCAGAUACACAUUGAAUGGAAAGAAAGCAAGUCAUAUAUCAACAGCUGUGCUCCGUCCUUUCAUUUGGAGGAAGAAAGAAAAGAAGCCACGGGACCUUCCCUGAUGCUCCUUCAGCUCUAGUGCUGCUGUGUUUCCAACAUGUUGAAGCUUCAGAGAUGGUGAACACACAGACCUCAUCGGGCCUCUGGCAGGAGAGAGAGACAGGGGAAGAGCUAGGCAUCCAGAAGACGGGGUGGCUAAAGGAUUACCUUAAGAAAUCCUCAGUGUGUACACCAAGUUCUGACUGUAGUUGAACGAAUAAAAAUGUAGCUUCAACACACAGAAAAAGGGUGGUCAGCUCCACAAAUAGGAUCAGAAACCGACUGACUGAUUACUUUGGCCACAUCGGUGGAUGUCCUGCUGUAGGUAGUGGUGUAGGGCGGGCUUUGAGGACCACAGUGUGAAAUGCUCACCACCUCUGCGCAUCGGGAAGUCUCGUCAGCUCUGGAGAACUGACAGGUUCCCGAGCGUGCCUUUGCCUGAGAAUUCAGCGAUUUAAGAAUUCGUAUCAGUUUGCACACUCCACAUUUUCUCUAUUUUCUGUCCUCCAAAGAGAGGGCAGAGUCUUUGUUCCCCAGACGUAUGAAUUUGGGUAAUUGUAAGUAACAAAGAAUAAUCUCUGGACAGUGUUAAAUAAAAA